Molecule: long non-coding RNA, 615 nt
Organism: Dioscorea cayenensis subsp. rotundata (Guinea yam)
Lineage: Eukaryota; Viridiplantae; Streptophyta; Magnoliopsida; Dioscoreales; Dioscoreaceae
Exons: 2
Source: RefSeq, a predicted model, not a curated record
UUUUUUAUUUAUAAUUUGAAAUUUUGAAAUAGGCAUUCAUAGCAUCAAGUUAUACACUAUCAUGUGAUCGUAAUAGAUUUGAGGGAUUAUUGAAGGGUUUACGCAGGCAAUCUGUCAUGUUCCAUACACAGUUUGCGCUCAUAAAUGAAUAUUUUUCACAAUUUAUUUCUUUUGGUUGCAUUAACAGUUUGCCUUUGAACUCAAAGUGUCAUUGAGUGAUUCAUUACCUAAAAGCUUUUAAUCCUCUACCAUUGUGCAGGGGGCGUGGCUGCUAAAAAAAAACAUUUAGUUUUGUUUCUAAUUUGCAGAUUGAUAGAGUACAUGCUGAACUGUCAACGGCAAAUAUUCCCAUGCUGAGGAAAGAGGCUCACACACAAUAUGAUGUGAAUGCUGCUAGAUCAUGUUAUGCUCAUGACAGGUUUUUAAGCCUGAGUUAUCCUGGGAAGACUCUUCUUUGCAUUGAAAAAACUACCACCAGUUUUGUUUAACUUCUUUCUGUUCGGUAGAUCAGAUUUUUGUAUCUGAAAUCUAAUGACAGUUGUGGGGCUAUUUCUCAUAAUAUCCUUGGCUGUAAUUUUUCAAUCAUUAAUGAGCCCUGUGCAUUGUAUCUUUUUC